Long non-coding RNA from Juglans regia (Persian walnut), 1555 nucleotides. RefSeq lists it as uncharacterized. NCBI's taxonomy places the organism in Eukaryota, Viridiplantae, Streptophyta, Magnoliopsida, Fagales, Juglandaceae. The transcript is spliced from 9 exons. The record is from RefSeq and is a predicted model, not a curated record.
AAAUUUUUUUCAUUAAUUUUCUGAACUUUCGGCCUUCGGAUGCCUUUGGGCUGUGCUUAGCUGAACCUUCAUCAGAAAUCAUUGCUGCACAAGUCACAGAGCAUGGGGAAAAGGAGGCUGACGCUUCAAUCAACAAUCGUAUCGCAUUCGAUUUCAAAACUCAAUCCAGAUUGAUGGACUUUUGCAUGAAAUCCCUAAUUUGUCAAUCAUCCAUCGAGAUCCAAGAACUGCUCAUUUUGUAGAAGCAAUGGCAUCUCAACCCUUCUUGUUUGAGAACCAGUUUUUGGUGUCUAGGACAAAGCUUGGAAAUGUUCAAGUUCUUACUAGGAAUGAAGGUGAAGUUCGAGUGAAUUGCAAUUAUGUUAAUGGCCGUUGAAGGGAUGCAUCAGAUUCUUGGGGUUUGUCUGUUAGCUUCCUCAACAUGAUAUUGCUACCAAUUGUGGGAAAUGCAGCGGAACAUGCAGGAGCAAUCACAUUUGCUUUCAAGGACAAGAUAUAACUUUAGGUGUUGCUUUGGGAUCUGCAGCUCAAAUUGCAAUGUUUGUUGUGAGAAUUUAAGUCUGCAGCUCAAAUUGCAAUGUUUGUUGUGAGAAUUUAAAACAGAAGCUAGCUGCAUCAAUUAAAGCUUUCUUCAUGAACUUUUGACUAAGCAAAUAUACGUACUGGUAAAUACUAAGCAAUGUUUGUGGUGAGACCAUAAAAUGUGACAUGAAGCAGGAAAGGAGUCUGACUGUUGAUUUUGGGUUUUCUCAUUUCCUUUUAGUUUCACUGGAACUUUGCAGUUGUGAUUUUGUAGGAUAAGACUAAUGGCCGGAAUGAAGAAUGUUGCUCAUAUACAAGCUCAAAUAGAGAAAGUUGGUGAAGAUGCUCGUCUUUAGGAGGCACUGAUAAAGAAUCUUCUGCAGCCUGCACAGCUGCUGCAACUUGCUCUUUUGGUUUUGCAUUUGUGCGUUACUGCUUGUUGAAGAAAAUCCCAUUCCCGUGUUGUGGGAGUCAAAGAAACAAAUGAAGGAGACAUGAUUGAAGCAGUAGUAAAUUAGAUAGGGGAGGCUAUUAAUUCCUUCAACCAAAUCUAUGGUGCAGAAGCAAUGUUUGCUGAUUUAGGUCACUUCUCUGGGCCAAGCUGCUUAUCUGAUGAGAUACCCAAAUUCCGUAGAAAGAAUAUUCUAUGACUCUGUGCCAGGUUCUUAACCAACAACUCAUUAAGUGGGGAAGUACCUCAGUGGGUAUUGGACAACAAGAACUUGCGAGUCUACUUAAAGUUUAAGCUGAGUAUCCUCAUUUCAUUUGGCUGUGAAAUUUUCUAUACACUGUUGAAGAGGCUUUCUUUGGAUCAUAAUGACCUUUUUGGGUGUGAGUUGGGAAGAACGUGCAUACAUUCGUAUUAAUGUCCAUGGAGUAGUUGGUUGCUGUCAUGUUAAAAAAGUACACAUGGAAAACAGGGAAUAUUGUGGCAAGUGAUAUGUAUUAAGUUUAAAGGAGUCUCUUUUUAAUAUUGAGAAGAUCUUCCGUGUUUAAUCUUUUCUAAUUAGUGUAUUUAUAAUGUAUUGUAACA